RNAcentral lists this ribosomal RNA (310 nucleotides) under uncultured bacterium. RNAcentral describes it as "bacterial SSU rRNA". It matches the Rfam family "Bacterial small subunit ribosomal RNA", at positions 28 to 352 of the family's 1533-position model. The record is from RNAcentral.
GAUAAACGCUGGCGGCGUGCCUAACACAUGCAAGUCGAACGCCCUUUUGCGCAAGUGAGAGGGAGUGGCGGACGGGUGAGUACCACGUGGGUACCUACCUUGAGGUGAGGAAUACCACCGAGAAAUCGGUGACAAGACCGCAUACGCUUGGCAACAAGCAAAGUCUCGCAAGAGACGCCACAAGAUGGGCCUGCGCCUGAUUAGCUAGUUGGUGAGGUAAUGGCUCACCAAGGCGACGAUCAGUAGCUGGUCUGAGAGGAUGAUCAGCCACACUGGGAUUGAGAACGGCCCAGACUCCUACGGGGGCAGC